Molecule: non-coding RNA, 95 nt
Organism: Punctularia strigosozonata HHB-11173 SS5
Lineage: Eukaryota; Fungi; Basidiomycota; Agaricomycetes; Corticiales; Punctulariaceae
Source: the annotation of a RefSeq genome assembly
GUCCCUGUAGAUUAGUGGUUAGAUCAUCACGUUGUGGCCUCAGCGGGAUUUGAGUCAGGACCGUGAAAACCCAGGCUCGACUCCUGGCCGGCACA